UUUUUUCUAUGCUAUGUAUUUGUAAAUUUUUUCUAACUCUAUUUUUUGGUAAUUGAUGUUCUAAUUGUACAAAUUGAAAUAGUAUUUUUAUUAAAUUAAAAUCAUAAUUUUGAAAGUCUUCCCAGUACCAGUCUUCUGGUAACAAGCUAAAGCAGAAGAGUAACCUUCUCUCUUGGAUCUUUCUCACUCUAGGAGUCAGAGUCAGCAUCCGGUAUAGAAGAUCUGUCUUCUUUUAAGGACCCGGAAUUCGGGAUUGGAAUUGAAUCUGUAAGUUACCUUUCCAGUCUUAAUUAAAUCCUUAAUUCGCCCGUACGGCCUAUCAGAAUGCUUGAUGAUAUUCUUUGAUGAUCUCACUCCAGGAAGAGUAAAGAAGUACGUGCUCGACCACUCUUUCGGUUUGCUUGCUUCCCUUUUUUUGUCCUUAGAUUCAUUUAUAGCAGGAUUGACACAUGUAAAAAUUUUUAUGCAGAUAUAAUUAUAGCAGUACAUAUGGGUUCUCAUAAUCUGAAACUACAAAUGAAAUAUAAAAAAGUUUUGUUGGAGAGAUUUUUACCCUGGAAUCUUGAAUAGUAUCUUUAUGAGUUUGAUGCUUGAGGAAUCACGAUGGUUGUUAGAGAUUUGUAGUCUUUUUGUUGUCAGAAAAAGUUUCAAUAACCAUGUUUUUUCUUCCAGGGUGAUUGGUUAUGAUAAGUGAAUUUGUAAAGUUUGUCUUAUGAAGAGUUUUAUAUAAUUUUAGUUGUUUGUAGAUAAAAGUUGUUUUAUAUGAUUGGGUUAGGUGAUUUUGUGGGUUCUAAAUAGUAUUGUAUUUGGGUUUCGUUGUGAAUGGAUGUCAGAAAGUAGUUUAAGGGAAUUAUUUAUGGUUUGAGUUGAGUGAGUAUUGUGUGUAU
RNAcentral lists this long non-coding RNA (887 nucleotides) under Durio zibethinus. RNAcentral describes it as "long non-coding RNA (DZIB_LNC001844)". Lineage: Eukaryota; Viridiplantae; Streptophyta; Magnoliopsida; Malvales; Malvaceae. The record is from RNAcentral.